This 253-nucleotide ribosomal RNA is filed under the name uncultured bacterium. RNAcentral's name for it is "partial 16S ribosomal RNA". It matches the Rfam family "Bacterial small subunit ribosomal RNA", at positions 524 to 776 of the family's 1533-position model. The record is from RNAcentral.
UACGGAGGGUGCGAGCGUUAAUCGGAAUAACUGGGCGUAAAGGGCACGCAGGCGGUCUUUUAAGUGAGAUGUGAAAUCCCCGGGCUUAACCUGGGAACAGCAUUUCAGACUGGGAGUCUUGAGUACUUUAGGGAGGGGUAGAAUUCCACGUGUAGCGGUGAAAUGCGUAGAGAUGUGGAGGAAUACCGAAGGCGAAGGCAGCCCCUUGGAAAUAUACUGACGCUCGUGUGCGAAAGCGUGGGGAGCAAACAGG